AGGGAGGUAGUGACAAGAAAUAACAAUACGGGGCUUGAAGUCUUGUAAUUGGAAUGAUGGGAAUUUAAACCCCUUCCAGAGUAUCAAUUGGAGGGCAAGUCUGGUGCCAGCAGCCGCGGUAAUUCCAGCUCCAAUAGCGUAUAUUAAACUUGUUGCAGUUAAAAAGCUCGUAGUUGAAUUUCUGCUGCAUCGUGGUUCUUCGCUAUGUCGAGUGAUCUUCGUUGUGGCUUAGUUGGGGCAUGUUUUCAUGACUCGACGUUUACUUUGAGAAAAUUAGAGUGCUUCAAGCAGGCUUUUGCCUUGAAUACUUUAGCAUGGAAUAAUGGAGUAGGACUUUGGUUCUAUUUUGUUGGUUUUAGGAGCCGGAGUAAUGGUUAAUAGGAACAGUUGGG
Molecule: ribosomal RNA, 392 nt
Filed under: Theileria equi
Lineage: Eukaryota; Apicomplexa; Aconoidasida; Piroplasmida; Theileriidae
Description: SSU rRNA
Rfam family: Eukaryotic small subunit ribosomal RNA
Source: RNAcentral